This 2206-nucleotide ribosomal RNA is filed under the name Escherichia coli. RNAcentral's name for it is "partial 23S ribosomal RNA". It matches the Rfam family "Bacterial large subunit ribosomal RNA", at positions 609 to 2798 of the family's 2925-position model. Lineage: Bacteria; Pseudomonadati; Pseudomonadota; Gammaproteobacteria; Enterobacterales; Enterobacteriaceae. The record is from RNAcentral.
UGUAUAAUGGGUCAGCGACUUAUAUUCUGUAGCAAGGUUAACCGAAUAGGGGAGCCGAAGGGAAACCGAGUCUUAACUGGGCGUUAAGUUGCAGGGUAUAGACCCGAAACCCGGUGAUCUAGCCAUGGGCAGGUUGAAGGUUGGGUAACACUAACUGGAGGACCGAACCGACUAAUGUUGAAAAAUUAGCGGAUGACUUGUGGCUGGGGGUGAAAGGCCAAUCAAACCGGGAGAUAGCUGGUUCUCCCCGAAAGCUAUUUAGGUAGCGCCUCGUGAAUUCAUCUCCGGGGGUAGAGCACUGUUUCGGCAAGGGGGUCAUCCCGACUUACCAACCCGAUGCAAACUGCGAAUACCGGAGAAUGUUAUCACGGGAGACACACGGCGGGUGCUAACGUCCGUCGUGAAGAGGGAAACAACCCAGACCGCCAGCUAAGGUCCCAAAGUCAUGGUUAAGUGGGAAACGAUGUGGGAAGGCCCAGACAGCCAGGAUGUUGGCUUAGAAGCAGCCAUCAUUUAAAGAAAGCGUAAUAGCUCACUGGUCGAGUCGGCCUGCGCGGAAGAUGUAACGGGGCUAAACCAUGCACCGAAGCUGCGGCAGCGACGCUUAUGCGUUGUUGGGUAGGGGAGCGUUCUGUAAGCCUGUGAAGGUGUGCUGUGAGGCAUGCUGGAGGUAUCAGAAGUGCGAAUGCUGACAUAAGUAACGAUAAAGCGGGUGAAAAGCCCGCUCGCCGGAAGACCAAGGGUUCCUGUCCAACGUUAAUCGGGGCAGGGUGAGUCGACCCCUAAGGCGAGGCCGAAAGGCGUAGUCGAUGGGAAACAGGUUAAUAUUCCUGUACUUGGUGUUACUGCGAAGGGGGGACGGAGAAGGCUAUGUUGGCCGGGCGACGGUUGUCCCGGUUUAAGCGUGUAGGCUGGUUUUCCAGGCAAAUCCGGAAAAUCAAGGCUGAGGCGUGAUGACGAGGCACUACGGUGCUGAAGCAACAAAUGCCCUGCUUCCAGGAAAAGCCUCUAAGCAUCAGGUAACAUCAAAUCGUACCCCAAACCGACACAGGUGGUCAGGUAGAGAAUACCAAGGCGCUUGAGAGAACUCGGGUGAAGGAACUAGGCAAAAUGGUGCCGUAACUUCGGGAGAAGGCACGCUGAUAUGUAGGUGAAGUCCCUUGCGGAUGGAGCUGAAAUCAGUCGAAGAUACCAGCUGGCUGCAACUGUUUAUUAAAAACACAGCACUGUGCAAACACGAAAGUGGACGUAUACGGUGUGACGCCUGCCCGGUGCCGGAAGGUUAAUUGAUGGGGUUAGCGGUAACGCGAAGCUCUUGAUCGAAGCCCCGGUAAACGGCGGCCGUAACUAUAACGGUCCUAAGGUAGCGAAAUUCCUUGUCGGGUAAGUUCCGACCUGCACGAAUGGCGUAAUGAUGGCCAGGCUGUCUCCACCCGAGACUCAGUGAAAUUGAACUCGCUGUGAAGAUGCAGUGUACCCGCGGCAAGACGGAAAGACCCCGUGAACCUUUACUAUAGCUUGACACUGAACAUUGAGCCUUGAUGUGUAGGAUAGGUGGGAGGCUUUGAAGUGUGGACGCCAGUCUGCAUGGAGCCGACCUUGAAAUACCACCCUUUAAUGUUUGAUGUUCUAACGUUGACCCGUAAUCCGGGUUGCGGACAGUGUCUGGUGGGUAGUUUGACUGGGGCGGUCUCCUCCUAAAGAGUAACGGAGGAGCACGAAGGUUGGCUAAUCCUGGUCGGACAUCAGGAGGUUAGUGCAAUGGCAUAAGCCAGCUUGACUGCGAGCGUGACGGCGCGAGCAGGUGCGAAAGCAGGUCAUAGUGAUCCGGUGGUUCUGAAUGGAAGGGCCAUCGCUCAACGGAUAAAAGGUACUCCGGGGAUAACAGGCUGAUACCGCCCAAGAGUUCAUAUCGACGGCGGUGUUUGGCACCUCGAUGUCGGCUCAUCACAUCCUGGGGCUGAAGUAGGUCCCAAGGGUAUGGCUGUUCGCCAUUUAAAGUGGUACGCGAGCUGGGUUUAGAACGUCGUGAGACAGUUCGGUCCCUAUCUGCCGUGGGCGCUGGAGAACUGAGGGGGGCUGCUCCUAGUACGAGAGGACCGGAGUGGACGCAUCACUGGUGUUCGGGUUGUCAUGCCAAUGGCACUGCCCGGUAGCUAAAUGCGGAAGAGAUAAGUGCUGAAAGCAUCUAAGCACGAAACUUGCC